This 184-nucleotide non-coding RNA is filed under the name Lachnospiraceae bacterium. RNAcentral describes it as "6S RNA". It matches the Rfam family "6S / SsrS RNA". Rfam says of the family: E. coli 6S RNA was the first non coding RNA to be sequenced, but its function was unknown until recently. It consists of 184 nucleotides that fold into an extended hairpin structure with a large single-stranded internal bulge. Lineage: Bacteria; Bacillati; Bacillota; Clostridia; Lachnospirales; Lachnospiraceae. The record is from RNAcentral.
AAGAUCCUGGAAUGCACGAUACUCUUGUAUGUUUUGAACCUACAUUUACGUUUAUGGGAUUCCUAUAUUGUCGUUAUUAUGUCAGGCCUCCGAAUGCGCAGUGGAAGACAGAGGAACGAUUGCGGUCACCCACCUGGCUUAGGCUAGGCGUCAAAAUAACAAGAACCGGCAUUUUGGGUAACUA